UCCCUUCCACAGUGCCACUGCCAUGGCAAUGAUAUUAUGUCUAUGAUGUUGGUAUAUGAUAUGAUAGCUAGUGUCGGAUGAAGAGGUUUCCUGCUGUCAAGAAAUGAUGUUAGUCGAGUUAGGCAGUGAUCCACCGGAAAGACAGGGGGUCACGGAAGCAAUUCAGAAGCUCCCCACGCAUCGCACUGAGACGUUUCGGCAGGAGAACGCCCACUGAACUGAAGACGAGCACGAUCAAAAGGACCAAAGAGAGUGAGCUUGAGCCUCGAGCUCUACCGUGGUAGACCGUUCCACUACUACCGACCGACCACGCACUGAUAUCAUAUCAUCCCAAUCAUCAUCUACUACACCUUUAUUAGGUCUCUUUUCAUUUUACUUGCUAGCGAGACAAGGAUUGUUCGUCCCAGUUCUAGAUUGUGCGAGAAGAAUAAGCUUUUCUCUUUAAAGUAAAAGUUGGGAACUGUUG
Molecule: long non-coding RNA, 466 nt
Filed under: Hordeum vulgare
Lineage: Eukaryota; Viridiplantae; Streptophyta; Magnoliopsida; Poales; Poaceae
Description: long non-coding RNA (HVUL_LNC010984)
Source: RNAcentral